RNAcentral lists this long non-coding RNA (229 nucleotides) under Mytilus galloprovincialis (Mediterranean mussel). The record is from RNAcentral. Lineage: Eukaryota; Metazoa; Mollusca; Bivalvia; Mytilida; Mytilidae.
AAAUUUUAGUUUCUUGUGUACAAUUUGGAAAUUAGUAUGGCGUUCAUUAUCACUGAACUAGUAUAUAUUUGUUUAGGGGCCAGUUGAAGGACGCCUCCGGGUGCGGGAAUUUCUCGCUACAUUGAAGACCUGUUGGUGACCUUCUGCUGUUGUUUUUUUCUAUGGUCGGGUUGUUGUCUCUUUGGCACAUUCCCCAUUUCCAUUCUCAAUUUUAUACCAAAAACACAAA